Molecule: ribosomal RNA, 253 nt
Filed under: uncultured bacterium
Lineage: Bacteria
Description: partial 16S ribosomal RNA
Rfam family: Bacterial small subunit ribosomal RNA
Source: RNAcentral
UACGUAGGGACCAAGCGUUGUUCGGAUUUACUGGGCGUAAAGGGCGCGUAGGCGGCAAUUUCAAGUCAUCUGUGAAAUCUCCGAGCUUAACUCGGAACGGUCAGAUGAUACUGCUUUGCUAGAGUGCAGAAGGGGCAACCGGAAUUCUUGGUGUAGCGGUGAAAUGCGUAGAUAUCUGGAGGAAUACCGGUGGCGAAGGCGGCAUCCUGGACCGACAUUGACGCUGAGGAGCGAAAGCCAGGGGAGCAACGGG